This 301-nucleotide ribosomal RNA is filed under the name uncultured bacterium. RNAcentral's name for it is "partial 16S ribosomal RNA". It matches the Rfam family "Bacterial small subunit ribosomal RNA", at positions 509 to 807 of the family's 1533-position model. The record is from RNAcentral.
CAGUAGCCGCGGUAACACGGAGGGUGCAAGCGUUAAUCGGAAUUACUGGGCGUAAAGCGCACGCAGGCGGUCUGACAAGUCAGAUGUGAAAUCCCCGGGCUUAACCUGGGAACUGCAUUUGAAACUGUCAGGCUGGAGUCUUGUAGAGGGGGGUAGAAUUCCAGGUGUAGCGGUGAAAUGCGUAGAGAUCUGGAGGAAUACCGGUGGCGAAGGCGGCCCCCUGGACAAAGACUGACGCUCAGGUGCGAAAGCGUGGGGAGCAAACAGGAUUAGAUACCCCGGUAGUCCCUGUCUCUUAUAC